GGCGGCGUGCUUAACACAUGCAAGUCGAACGAUGAACCUCUUCGGAGGGGAUUAGUGGCGAACGGGUGAGUAACACGUGGGCAAUCUGCCCUUCACUCUGGGACAAGCCCUGGAAACGGGGUCUAAUACCGGAUAACACCGGCCUCCGCAUGGGGGCUGGUUGAAAGCUCCGGCGGUGAAGGAUGAGCCCGCGGCCUAUCAGCUUGUUGGUGGGGUAAUGGCCUACCAAGGCGACGACGGGUAGCCGGCCUGAGAGGGCGACCGGCCACACUGGGACUGAGACACGGCCCAGACUCCUACGGGAGGCAGCAGUGGGGAAUAUUGCACAAUGGGCGAAAGCCUGAUGCAGCGACGCCGCGUGAGGGAUGACGGCCUUCGGGUUGUAAACCUCUUUCAGCAGGGAAGAAGCGAAAGUGACGGUACCUGCAGAAGAAGCGCCGGCUAACUACGUGCCAGCAGCCGCGGUAAUACGUAGGGCGCAAGCGUUGUCCGGAAUUAUUGGGCGUAAAGAGCUCGUAGGCGGCUUGUCACGUCGGAUGUGAAAGCCCGGGGCUUAACCCCGGGUCUGCAUUCGAUACGGGCAGGCUAGAGUGUGGUAGGGGAGAUCGGAAUUCCUGGUGUAGCGGUGAAAUGCGCAGAUAUCAGGAGGAACACCGGUGGCGAAGGCGGAUCUCUGGGCCAUUACUGACGCUGAGGAGCGAAAGCGUGGGGAGCGAACAGGAUUAGAUACCCUGGUAGUCCACGCCGUAAACGUUGGGAACUAGGUGUUGGCGACAUUCCACGUCGUCGGUGCCGCAGCUAACGCAUUAAGUUCCCCGCCUGGGGAGUACGGCCGC
RNAcentral lists this ribosomal RNA (836 nucleotides) under Streptomyces sp. IM-6880. RNAcentral describes it as "bacterial SSU rRNA". It matches the Rfam family "Bacterial small subunit ribosomal RNA", at positions 38 to 889 of the family's 1533-position model. The record is from RNAcentral. Lineage: Bacteria; Bacillati; Actinomycetota; Actinomycetes; Kitasatosporales; Streptomycetaceae.